UACAGAGGGUGCGAGCGUUGUUCGGAAUUACUGGGCGUAAAGCGCGCGCAGGCGGCCCUUUAAGUCUGACGGUGAAAUGCCGGGGCUCAACCCCGUGCCCGCCGCGGAUACUGGAGGGCUGGAGACACGUAGAGGCAAGCGGAAUUCCGGGUGUAGCGGUGGAAUGCGUAGAGAUCCGGAAGAACACCGGAGGCGAAGGCGGCUUGCUGGGCGUAGUCUGACGCUGAGGCGCGAAAGCGUGGGGAGCGAACAGG
Molecule: ribosomal RNA, 254 nt
Filed under: uncultured bacterium
Lineage: Bacteria
Description: partial 16S ribosomal RNA
Rfam family: Bacterial small subunit ribosomal RNA
Source: RNAcentral